CGCCUAGUAGCUAGCCCCUCCAACCAAAAACAACAAACCACUAUUAAUAAACCCCAAUACACUAGAACACAUUAAACAAACCAUUUUUCCCCCUUAGUAUGGGCGACAGAACCG
RNAcentral lists this ribosomal RNA (114 nucleotides) under Verilus pacificus. RNAcentral's name for it is "partial 16S rRNA". The record is from RNAcentral. Lineage: Eukaryota; Metazoa; Chordata; Actinopteri; Acropomatiformes; Acropomatidae.